GCAACGCUCUGGUACCGUGCCGCGCGAACUUUCCACCCGACCGCGGAACGGGGAAGCCGGUGCGAAUCCGGCGCGGGCCCGCCACUGUCAGCGAGGACGUUCGCCGCACGCCGAGGUCGGCAGCCACUGGCGCAUCGAUUGCGCCGGGAAGGCGCGGUGGAAAUGCUCGCGAGCCAGGAAACCCGGCCACGGUCACGAUCGUCUG
Molecule: regulatory RNA element, 205 nt
Organism: Conexibacter woesei DSM 14684
Lineage: Bacteria; Bacillati; Actinomycetota; Thermoleophilia; Solirubrobacterales; Conexibacteraceae
Source: Rfam